CCCAGGACCAGCUGCUGGCGCUGGCGGAGGGCAACACGCUGUCCCGCCUGUCCAAGAACCAGCAGCAUCAGUACUACAAAGCCAUGAUGAGCAUCAGCAGGAGCUCCACGUCACAGACGCUCCGCAGGUCCCACGAGCGGCUCCUGGUCUCUCCUGACCGGCUGGACGACCGGCUGCUGCCGAUGGGUCUGAUGGAGAGGGGCGGGGGCACGGGGAUGGUUCCCACCAUGGGUCGGCUCAGCCACCACCAGAAGGCCCAGUCGCAGCAGAACAUCUGCGCCACGCCGUCUCUGGACCGCCACCACAUGAUCAAGAUGAACUCGCACCCGACGCCCGGCCACGAGCACGACCGCAGCUCCGCGGGCAUGGGCAAGCACGGCGGCUGGGACCCCCACGGCGGAGGAGGAGAAAGAGGAGGAGGAGGAGGAGGAAUGGGGUCGAUGGGAGGACACCCCAACGCCCGACGAAUGGCUUUUGCCAGCAAGAGGCAGAACACCAUCGAACAGCUGCACUUCAUCCCCGGAGGAGGAGGAGGAGGAGGAGGAGGGCAGGGACUGCGGACUGGGAGUAAGAACGAGGUGACAGUGUGAGAGGAAGAUGAGGAGAGGUGAAGGCUGAAGAGAGAGAGAGAGAGAGAGGGUCUGUGAAGCUCUCAGCUGGCUGCCCCCCCCCCCCUUCACUAAAUAUGUCCUGUAUGACGACGUUUAAGCCAAUCGAUUCUCUUCUUGUCACUUUGUGUGUUGAAAGAGAAAUUUCAGCCAUUCUUUGUAAAGGGAAGAUACACGCCCUCCUAAAAAGAGCAAAAAAAACAGGCAGCUGGACGGCUGCUGGGUCUCCGCUGUGACUUUUACUGAAGGAUUUCUGCUGAGUCCGAUUUGUUGAAUUGUCCUUGAGUUUUAUUGCACUGCUGUCCUCCGAGUCCUCGAGCGCUCCGACAGAUCGGUCUGUCUUUGAAUCCGCCGUGGAUGAUGGAGAGCGCCGAGCCGGAGGCGGACGGGUUUGCUUGUCUUUGUAUUUAUAAAAAAAGUAUUUAAAAACCAAACGAGCUGCUUUUGUAUGAGAUGAACCUGAUGAUGAUGAUGAUAAUAUAAUAACAUGAAGAUAACUGAGCCCUGUAGGAUUUUGUGUAUACUUAGUUGAAAACCUAUUUAUCCUUUAGCCAGCCGUAACGGCUGCAUAUGUAAUCAGCCGAUCGUUUCUUUCUCUAGCUGUGAUUGGAUGAUCGAUCGAACCGCAGAAAUAAUCGAGCCGCGUGCCGUCAUCUGCUUUAUGGCUCGAGAUAAGAAAACAAAACAUUUAGGAAGAAAACGUCAUCUCAAAUUGUUGCCAAACAGGCCCGGCCACACCAGCAGGGGAAGAUUUUACCGCUGACGAAGAGGAGGCUGUUUUUGUAGUCCAACAUGGAGGAUGCUAGUGUAGCACAUUAGCUGCACGUCCGUUUUCAUUUAUCCUCCUGUAGUGGAGAAGGAACGGCUCCAAAAAUGGAAUUACUAGGACGAAAAUGUCACGUUUUUGCCCCAUUAGCAAGUAGCCUGCUAGCCUAGUAGUUAGCGAGAUCGCUCUCUUUAGUGACUUUUUAAUAACGUAAAUGCUGUAAAUCCCAAGAAUUAUUCGUGACUGCUCCAUCCACUUGUACUUUACCCUUUAUUUUUGGGAAAGAAAUGGGCCCCCCAAAAAAUGUAUAGCAUAAAAAUAUCUUUUGAAUAAACUGUUAUUAUUGACUGUUAUUAGUGACUAGCAUGCUAGCUUACAGUUAGCAAGACGGGUUGUCCUCCCUCUUUGGUAAGUUUUUAAUGAAGUAAAUGUAAAAUACUGAGAAUAAAUCACAUUUAUGACUGUACCACCUGUAUUAUCCCAUGUUGGCUCCACAGAGGAAUAAAAAAUUACAAGGACAAAAUGUUUUUUAAAUAAGGAAAAGGUGUCACGUUGUCGCUUCCAUUAGCGACCGGCAAUGCUAACAGUUAUUAGACACGGUUCCUCUGUCCUUAAUCUUCAUGAUGAAUUAAAUGAUGCACAAUCUCAUAGGUUACCCAUGUUUGUGACAGCACACGUGCACGCGUGUUAGCAUUUAGCUAACUUUUUUUGCUGUGUUUCUGCUGUGGCCGGGCCUUCAAAGUAAAAACUCCACUUUGCAGCAUGAUUUUAAGCUAACUCGAAGCCUUUGUACAGUGAACUGUAGUGGGUGUUUAUCAUCUCUGAAACAUUGUGCUGUGACCCUUUUGCGUAAAGAUUAGUGAUAAAGUUUUGAAUUAGACCCCCUCAUGACGAACAUUUUAAUACAAAAAGCCAGACUGACCAAACAUUCUACUUUACAUCGCGAGCUUUGUAGAGAGUCGGGGGUUUCUUUUUUUAAAAAAACCUCCACGUACGUCGACGACGCCACACGCUACCUUGCAAGUUCAGCCGCUCACCUCGUGCAAAAAGGGGGAAAGGGGGAGCAGACGGGUUUUUUUCUUGGCGGGGGACAAUGGACACUUCACACCAAGGGCUAAACUGAAUUAUCUUUGUGUGUCUGUGCUCUGUACAGUGUCUGCUUCUCGUCUUCAUUUCCGUGUGUCGGGAGGCAUGCUCGUGCAUAUUUUCACCGAUUCUUUUGUUGUUUUUUUUCUUGUGUAGAGAGAAUUAUAAACACGCAAGGAAAUUUUCUGCAAAGCUGAGGAGCUUUUUGUGUUGAAUAAUUGUCACAGGAGGGAGGGGGGGGGGGCGGUAACCAUAACGAUGUCAUAUUUUGUACAUUUCUUUUUUCCUGGCUGUGAGACGGACCUUCUGGCCACACCGGCUGGAUUCACCCUUCGCGGGGUUAAAUUUAAGGGGACUCGUGAGGCCUUGUUGGAGGUUCUGAGGUUGUAUUGUAAAGACAGACAUGAUUGAUCACUGAGUGAAGCUUCCUGUCAGCCAUUUUUAGUGUUUUAAUACAUGUGAUCACAUGUUAUUGGUUUAUGUAAAAAAAUAAUAAUAAUUAUAAUAAUAAACAACAAACAAAAAAAUCCCCCCUGGAUGAGACGCUCUUAUCAUGAUCACUUUUUUCUGUCUUACUCAAACAUGUAUUUUUUUAAUGUCUGUGAAUUUUAAUGUAUAAUCCCAGAUUUUCAAUAUUUACACUUUUUAGUGGAAAAAAAAAAAUGAGAAAAACGUUUGUACUCACCGGAACAAAAAGAUCCGAUGCAAUCAGAGAGAAAAGACGAGCCGCAUGAAGACGUCGGAGGUGCUGACUGAUGACGUCACGGCGUGUGUGUGUGUGUGUAAACUCUCUUCUUCUUCGUAGGAAUGCUGAACCUCCCUGUUUUUUGACCAGGCGGUCGACGACCAGUCGUAUUCAUAUCAACCUGUUGUUUAAUUGAAGCGGUCAAUCACCACUUUUCUUGUCGAUCUACAUUCACCAAAGCCAGA
Parambassis ranga (Indian glassy fish) is the source of this 3390-nucleotide long non-coding RNA. The record is from Ensembl. Lineage: Eukaryota; Metazoa; Chordata; Actinopteri; Ambassidae.